This 1875-nucleotide unclassified non-coding RNA is filed under the name Hevea brasiliensis (rubber tree). The record is from RNAcentral. Lineage: Eukaryota; Viridiplantae; Streptophyta; Magnoliopsida; Malpighiales; Euphorbiaceae.
UGUCGCCCGCCUUUCUCCUGUAGAUGACUAGAGGUGCUAGGGCUAGAGCUUGGUGAGCCUAAAGCUUGAGGUGUGCUUGAAGCAUGCCUUUAAUAACUAUGUUUGGGCCCAUGAACCACUGACUGAUUCCAGUCCCAGGCUUGGCUAGGUUGGUUCCGGUCCAGUUAUGUGUCUAACCCGGACUAAUGUGCUGAACUGUCGGUUCCAGUCUGGUUCAAGGUUCAAGACGAAUUUGGUCCGCUUUGGACCCAUGAACCAUUGACUGAUUCUGGUCCCGAGCUUCAUCAGGCUGGUUCUGGUCCAGUUAUAUGUCUAAUUCGGAUGGCCUGGUCUGGCUCUCACUAAUUCAUGUACCGCUAGAGUUCAACUUUUCCCUAAAGCAUCCACAUAUCUAUGUCAGAUAUGGCUAAACUAUUUCAGAUAGACUGCAACUCAACUUGUACUCCAGUAGUGCUACCUUUCAUUUCUUGAAGUGGUGACACAUCUGCCUUUCUAUAAAUGCACUUUUUCCUGUUUUGGUCCUUGUAUUUUCUCAAAUCCACCUUAGAUAUUUUUUUUUUUAGCUAUACUAAUUUUAUGGAUGUUAUUUUUUCUACUGCCAAAUACUCAAUUAAAGAGUAUAGCUGGCUUAAUUUUAUCAGUAUCUUUUAUGGAAUUUACCUUUCAGCCUAACAUAAACUUUAUUGCCGCAUAGCAUUCUGUCUGUACUCCAUUUUAUCUCACCUUGAUCUAACUGCAACAAUUUAUUAUUUUUUGGUUGGAUAUUUGUGCUGUUUCUAAGUUGAUGUUAAAGCUGUUCUUGGGUUUUAUUUGAUCAGUGGUUUGGGCCUCAUAUGUUGCUUGCUGAUUUAGAAAUUUCUCAUUGAAAUUUAUAAUCUAUAUGAAGAUAAAACAGUGUUAGGCAUUUCUGAAUUUUGCGUAUUCAUGUUUUCUGUUGUAAUUGUUUGCUAGAAUAUGUGGAUGGCAUCUUUAUGCGUAUGUGUUGUACAGGUGCACUAUUGUUUUUUGCUUUGCUGGGGCUGUCUGGGUGCUUCAUUACUUGUUAUGAUCGAAGAGUUCGCAAUGAUUUGGCUCAGCCUUGCCGAGAAUUAUGUCUUUGUUGCUGUCAGCCUGGAAUGUGUGCAGACUGCCAUUUACCUGGCACUCUUUGUAUGUGGACUGACUGUACCACUUGCUUUGAAAGCUGUGCAAGUGCUGCUGGUGAAUGUGGUUGCUUGGGAGGUGCUGGUGAAGCAGGGCUGCCAUUGUUAUUUAUAAUGGCUUUGAUUGUUCUGGGACUAUUUACGGUGAUAGGCAUAUUCUAUAGUGUUUUAGUAGCUACUAUGGUUGGACAGCGAAUUUGGCAACGGCAUUAUCACAUACUUGCAAAGAGGAUGCUCACAAAAGAAUAUGUUGUCGAGGAUGUCGAUGGUGAGAUGACGGGAUCUGAUUGGUCUCCUCCGCCACUUCCGCCUGAGCAUGUUCAGCAGCUGAAAAAUCUGGGUCUGUUAUGAGUAAAGGAGGCGACAUCAUUUAUCACAGCACAGGAAUAACAUACUCUAGAGAUGGACUGGUACUCUAUUUUGGUAGGUCAGUCUGUACCGCGAGCCUUUGGACUUUAUUUAGUGCAAAAUACCUAGGUAAGAAAAUAUCAAAGGCGCUUUGAUGUUCUUCAAAUUACAUUUACAAAUUUGUAAAGGAUAAUUUGUGAAAACUGAAACAAGGUGUCCUGAAAUUAACUAACAAAACAUGUUUCUUCAUCUAUUUCAUGUCUGUAACCUAUCAAAGAAGAAAAAAAGAAAAAUCAUUCUGUAUUAUUAUAUUUGUUUAUAGCAUUAAGCAUUACUUGUAAGAAUUUGUUUGGUAUUCUGAAAUCUUUUUCUUUAAUUAUGUAUU